RNAcentral lists this ribosomal RNA (433 nucleotides) under uncultured bacterium. RNAcentral describes it as "partial 16S ribosomal RNA". It matches the Rfam family "Bacterial small subunit ribosomal RNA", at positions 29 to 507 of the family's 1533-position model. The record is from RNAcentral.
AACGAACGCUGGCGGCAUGCCUAACACAUGCAAGUCGAACGAGACCUUCGGGUCUAGUGGCGCACGGGUGCGUAACGCGUGGGAACCUGCCCUUAGGUUCGGAAUAACUCCCCGAAAGGGGUGCUAAUACCGGAUAAUGUCUUCGGACCAAAGAUUUAUCGCCUUUGGAUGGGCCCGCGUUGGAUUAGCUAGUUGGUAGGGUAAAAGCCUACCAAGGCGACGAUCCAUAGCUGGUCUGAGAGGAUGAUCAGCCACACUGGGACUGAGACACGGCCCAGACUCCUACGGGAGGCAGCAGUGGGGAAUAUUGGACAAUGGGCGAAGGCCUGAUCCAGCAAUGCCGCGUGAGUGAUGAAGGCCUUAGGGUUGUAAAGCUCUUUUACCCGGGAUGAUAAUGACGGUACCGGGAGAAUAAGCGCCGGCUAACUCCGUG